UGUGCGUUAAGUCGCAGACGUUAAGACGUUUCUGAGUUGAAACCUCGAUUGCUUCCAAUUAUUGCUGCUUUGUGACAAGACAUUCCUUCUCACAGGAGCGUCCUCCAUUGCCUCGUACAAAGAAGUAAGUGUGUCUCACCUGACGACUGCGACGUGAACUUUGAACAGGAACGUCAGGAGACAUUAUGAAGACAGGAAGAAUGAAUGAAAGCACAUUAUCUGGGAGGAUGCUACACGUGUUGGGGUUGCUGGCUGUCAUGGCGGUGCUAUGUGGUACAGCACACUCAGAAACCUUUAUUCAACAGACGCCUAAUGCACACAACUCCGUGAAACACACGGUGGCGGGCGGGAGAACAGCAGUUAAACAGAAACGUGGUACUCAUGCAUUUGAA
This is a long non-coding RNA of Pomacea canaliculata, 392 nucleotides long. RefSeq lists it as uncharacterized. The record is from RefSeq and is a predicted model, not a curated record. Lineage: Eukaryota; Metazoa; Mollusca; Gastropoda; Architaenioglossa; Ampullariidae. The transcript has 2 exons.